AUUGAACGCUGGCGGCAUGCCUUACACAUGCAAGUCGAACGGCAGCACGGGGGCAACCCUGGUGGCGAGUGGCGAACGGGUGAGUAAUACAUCGGAAUGUACCCAGUAGUGGGGGAUAACUAGUCGAAAGAUUAGCUAAUACCGCAUACGCACUAUGGUGGAAAGCGGGGGAUCGCAAGACCUCGCGCUAUUGGAGCAGCCGAUGUCCGAUUAGGUAGUUGGUGGGGUAAAGGCCUACCAAGCCUGCGAUCGGUAACUGGUCUGAGAGGACGACCAGUCACACUGGGACUGAGACACGGCCCAGACUCCUACGGGAGGCAGCAGUGGGGAAUUUUGGACAAUGGGGGAAACCCUGAUCCAGCAAUGCCGCGUGUGUGACGAAGGCCUUCGGGUUGUAAAGCACUUUUGGCGGGAACGAAACGGACGCGUUUCUAAUUACAGAGCGCUAAUGACGGUACCGCCAGAAUAAGCACCGGCUAACUACGUGCCAGCAGCCGCGUAAGGAGUAGUA
RNAcentral lists this ribosomal RNA (511 nucleotides) under uncultured bacterium. RNAcentral's name for it is "bacterial SSU rRNA". It matches the Rfam family "Bacterial small subunit ribosomal RNA", at positions 30 to 532 of the family's 1533-position model. The record is from RNAcentral.